This 76-nucleotide transfer RNA is filed under the name Planctomycetes bacterium DG_58. RNAcentral's name for it is "tRNA-Lys". It matches the Rfam family "tRNA". From Rfam's summary of the family: Transfer RNA (tRNA) molecules are approximately 80 nucleotides in length. The record is from RNAcentral. RNAcentral also lists the same sequence under 2 other names. Lineage: Bacteria; Pseudomonadati; Planctomycetota.
GGGGGUAUAGCUCAGUUGGUAGAGCAACGGCCUUUUAAGCCGUAGGUCGCAGGUUCGAGUCCUGCUGCCCUCACCA